AACGAACGCUGGCGGCAUGCCUAACACAUGCAAGUCGAACGAGACCUUCGGGUCUAGUGGCGCACGGGUGCGUAACGCGUGGGAAUCUGCCCUUCGGUUGGGAAUAACUGAGAGAAAUUUCAGCUAAUACCUUAUAAUGUCUUCGGACCAAAGAUUUAUCGCCGAGGGAUGAGCCCGCGUAGGUUUAGGUAGUUGGUGGGGUAAUGGCCUACCAAGCCGACGAUCCUUAGCUGGUCUGAGAGGAUGGUCAGCCACACUGGGACUGGGACACGGCCCAGACUCCUACGGGAGGCAGCAGUGGGGAAUAUUGGACGAUGGGCGAAGGCCUGAUCCAGCAAUGCCGCGUGAGUGAUGAAGUCCUUAGGGUUGUAAAGCUCUUUUACCCGGGAUGAUAAUGACAGUACCGGGAGAAUAAGCUCCGGCUAACUCCGUG
This 433-nucleotide ribosomal RNA is filed under the name uncultured bacterium. RNAcentral's name for it is "partial 16S ribosomal RNA". It matches the Rfam family "Bacterial small subunit ribosomal RNA", at positions 29 to 507 of the family's 1533-position model. The record is from RNAcentral.